RNAcentral lists this unclassified non-coding RNA (240 nucleotides) under Hevea brasiliensis (rubber tree). Lineage: Eukaryota; Viridiplantae; Streptophyta; Magnoliopsida; Malpighiales; Euphorbiaceae. The record is from RNAcentral.
UGUUAGAGCUAAGUUCAAGUCCAACUUGCCACCAAAGUCUAUGGGGGCUAAGGUUAGAGUUUUCAUGUACCCAAGCAACAUAUAAGCAAGGUACCAAGUCGACGCAUAUGCUUGGAUCCCCUACAUUUGUCUAUCAUUAGUUAUGAAGGAUUUGAAUCUUUUAAAGUAGUUGGACAUAACUUGUUUUGGGCUAUGUGGAAUUACAUUUCUAUUCUAUUUGUUUACCAUGUACUUGGAAAC